GACGAACGCUGGCGGCGUGCCUAAUACAUGCAAGUUGAGCGCUGAAGGUUGGUACUUGUACCAACUGGAUGAGCAGCGAACGGGUGAGUAACGCGUGGGGAAUCUGCCUUUGAGCGGGGGACAACAUUUGGAAACGAAUGCUAAUACCGCAUAAAAACUUUAAACACAAGUUUUAAGUUUGAAAGAUGCAAUUGCAUCACUCAAAGAUGAUCCCGCGUUGUAUUAGCUAGUUGGUGAGGUAAAGGCUCACCAAGGCGAUGAUACAUAGCCGACCUGAGAGGGUGAUCGGCCACAUUGGGACUGAGACACGGCACAAACUCCUACGGGAGGCAGCAGUAGGGAAUCUUCGGCAAUGGACGAAAGUCUGACCGAGCAACGCCGCGUGAGUGAAGAAGGUUUUCGGAUCGUAAAACUCUGUUGGUAGAGAAGAGCGUUGGUGAGAGUGGAAAGCUCAUCAAGUGACGGUAACUACCCAGAAAGGGACGGCUAACUACGUG
RNAcentral lists this ribosomal RNA (497 nucleotides) under uncultured bacterium. Its description in RNAcentral is "partial 16S ribosomal RNA". It matches the Rfam family "Bacterial small subunit ribosomal RNA", at positions 28 to 507 of the family's 1533-position model. The record is from RNAcentral.